AACGCACAUUGCGCCCUCUGGUAUUCCGGGGGGCAUGCCUGUUCGAGCGUCAUUACAGCCCUCAAGCAAUGCUUGGCAUUGGAUCAGACUUCCCUUAGAAGGAAGUCGGUCCCAAAGACAUUGGCGGUGACAAGCGUAGCCUUGAAGCGUAGUGAUCUUACAAUCCGCUUUUCUAGGUACCUUGGCUACUUGCCUUGACCACAAUUUUUAUACCGGUUGACCUCGGAUCAGGUAGGGAUACCCGCUGAACUUAA
Molecule: unclassified non-coding RNA, 254 nt
Filed under: uncultured fungus
Lineage: Eukaryota; Fungi
Description: partial contains 5.8S ribosomal RNA, internal transcribed spacer 2, and large subunit ribosomal RNA
Rfam family: 5.8S ribosomal RNA (bases 1-52)
Source: RNAcentral